This 217-nucleotide long non-coding RNA is filed under the name Carica papaya (papaya). RNAcentral's name for it is "long non-coding RNA (CPAP_LNC006365)". Lineage: Eukaryota; Viridiplantae; Streptophyta; Magnoliopsida; Brassicales; Caricaceae. The record is from RNAcentral.
UUCACAAGUAACCGGAACAGGCAGGGUGGUCUGUUUGAGUUCCCACUAGCGGUCUGCUUCUCCCACUAACAUGUAGGUAGCAAGGGUAACCUUCUGCUCAGAAGUCACCCAUAGGGUCUUGAAGGCCUUCUCUGUCUCUACCAACCAGUAUUCGACAUCUUCAAAAGAGGAUCCCCCUGCAAAAGUGGAUGGGUUUAGUCUCUUAUACCUCUCUAUG